RNAcentral lists this unclassified non-coding RNA (3696 nucleotides) under Hevea brasiliensis (rubber tree). The record is from RNAcentral. Lineage: Eukaryota; Viridiplantae; Streptophyta; Magnoliopsida; Malpighiales; Euphorbiaceae.
GUCGACUCUUAUAUUUCUCUAUUGAGUCGCUAGUGAUCUACUUUCCCUAUCACUUCUUUCUUCUUCAAGAUUUGCAUCUGCCCCUCCUUCUUUUGAUUUGAUCAAAUCUCUUUGAUAAUUAUCUUGAUUGGAUCAGCUGCCCUUUCUUCAGAUCUGUAUGAGAAACAUCUUGAUUGUACCAGGUACUUUAUAUUUAUUUAUGUUCUAGUUACUAUCAUUUGAAGUUUGCUAGUUUUAUUUGCUUCUUUAACAUAUUGAUAAAUAUUUAUAUUUAUUUAUCUUGCUAGGUUUUUUUGAAGUUUGAUAGUUUUAUUAUUGCUAGUUUGAAGUUUGCUAGUUAAUAAACUUGAAGAAAAUUUUAUUAUUUUAUUUCAGAUCGAGAGGUAUAGUCAUAUUAUGAAUGAGACCCAUAUCCUCUAACAAACUUGCAUGCUUGAUGAAGCCUUUAAUAGAUCUCUUUAAUCUAUGUUUGAAAGGAGAACAUCUCUGAUUAAUCACUGACAGACAGUGAUCUCUCUGCUUUGUCUCACUUAUCUGCAAUCAAAGUUGGCAUCAUUUGGUGCCUGUUCUGAUUCAAGCAAGUCUUUAGGAGAAAUUCUUCUCAGUCAAGGUACUUAGCUUAUAUUUAUUUUCUUUUCAUUGAUUCUAAGUUUUCAUUUGAUUCUUCCAAAUUUUUGUUUCUAUAAUGGUAAUGAUGCUUUGACAAGUAUUAUUUACCUGGCAAACACAAAUAACAAAUUCACUCCUCUGUUCAUUAGUACCCAUGCAUAAAUAAUAGUUUGCAGAAUAAAGUUUCCCAUGUUCCCUUUGGAAUUUUUCCCAUAACAAAUAGAUAAAUAGAGAAUAUUUUGAAUUAUUCAUCUUGUAAAUGAAUAAGAAACAUGUGGAAUAAGAUCAUGAAACUAUGAUGUAACACAGCUCAUACUCAGCCGAACCCUUAAAUGACACAUCACUUAUAUUUUGCUAUUUUACCCUGUAAAUAAGUUUGGUAAUGCAUUCUUCACUCUUCUAUACCCACGAAAAAUUUUUAACUUGGUCGUGCUUCAGUAUUGCUUCUUGUUCUAACUCCCAAAUAAAAUCUUUGACUUAAAACUUGCAAUGCCUUGGACAGAAAUUGGUUCUUCCUUCCCAUUUUUUUUGGCAGACCUCUAUUAACGUGCAUUACUUACAUGAUUCUGAUUGUCUGUAGGACAAACAAAAAUGGGAAGACCGAAAGAUCAAAUGUUUUGGGAGUACGUUGAGGGGAUUGGUAAUCAUUUGAAGUGUAAAUUCUGCGGAAAUGUAUUCAAGGGGAGUCCUUCAAUUUCAAGGAUCAAAUCUCAUUUAGCAGGAAUUCCAGGGCAGGGCAUUCAAAUUUGCGAUAGUGUGCCUGAUGAUGUCAAAGAAGCAGCUCUUGAAGCAAUCCAAGGAGCAAACAAAAGACGUAAAACUAUGAGGAGUUCAAGCAACAAUGAGGUGUACAAUCCAAUUUCAAGGCAACAAAAUCAUGAAGUGGAAGACGAAGAAAGGAUGCAAAUGGAAGUUCAGGACAUUGAACAACAAGUGGGGGAAGCUGGAACUUCUUUUCUUCUUGAAAUGGAAGAUAAUGUAGAGGACCAUGUUGGACAAUCUUUGCAAUUUGUUGAGACCAAAGGAGAGAAGUUGUUGACAACAAAGUUAAAGGGUGAGGAGUUUGAAACACAUAUAAAAGAGAUCUGUUCUUGUUUAAGGGAUGAUGAUAAUGUCUCAAAGGUUGGCAUUUAUGGGAUGGGGGGAGUGGGUAAAACUGAAUUGGCGAAACAUGUUAAUAAUGAACUUUUAAGAACUCCCAGCCCAUUUCAUUAUGUUUAUUGGGUUACUGUGUCGCCAGAUUUUAGCAUCCAUAAAUUGCAAGACACCAUUGCAAGAAUGGUGAAUCUAGACCUUUCAAGUGUGGAUGAUAAGCAUAUAAGAGCAGCCAGAUUAUUCGAGGUGUUGAAGGAUAAAAAUUUUGUUUUAAUUUUGGAUGAUAUGUGGAAUUAUGUUCCCCUUGAAAUGGUAGGAAUUCCUGAUAACAUGAAAAGAUGCAAGUUGGUUCUCACAACUCGAUCUUUAAAUGUGUGUCGAAAGAUGGAUUGCCAGAAGAACAUCAAAGUAAAGGGGGAAAUUACCGUAGAAGGGUGCCGUGAGAACGAAAAUACGGAAAAAGGGUCGAUAAUCCAAAUUUUACCGAAACGGGGUGGGGAGAAAAUAAAAACGCUAGUCAAGAAAGCGUUUUAGAGUGGGCUGCUAUCAACAAUCGCGUGCAGAGAGCAACCAAGCCAGGACGCUAGUCAAAGACGCGUCCCACCUGCCAAAACGCUAACACCAGAAGCGUCCCAGCCUGCAGUCCCAGCGAACCAGCCUGCACUCCCAGCCUGCACGCUAACAACAAAAGCGUCCCAGCUUGCACGCUAACAAUAGAAGCGUCCCAGCCUGCACAGCGUCCAACUCUCCUGCACGCUAACAACAGAAGCGUCCAGCAGCAACAGAAGCCAUCCAGCAAUAUUCUCUGCAUCAACCAGUCCAGCAAUAUUCUCUGCAUCAACCAGCCCCGUCGCCUGCGUGUUGGUCAUGCAGCCCCGUCGUGCAGCCCCGUCUCCUGCAUCCCGUGCCCGUGGCGUCCCGUCGUGUCCUGUCAAGGCUCCACAGUGGACGCUUCUCAAACUAGCGUCCCAAGCUCCCACUGAUUUAAGCACCACUACCUCUCUCGUCUCUCUCAUUCGUCCCUCUCUUUUACUCCCUUUCUUCUCCCAUUGAGCUGCUUCUCCCUUCUCGCGGAACUGGUUGUUGAAGCAGGUGGUGAAGGUGUUCGGUGGUGUGCAUCCUGGAAUUGGGCCAUCAAAUAAUGCCUAGUCUAAAAGAGAUUGCAGAUUCCAUUUUAUUUCAAUGCGAGGGCUUGCCACUUGGGAUUAAAGUAAUGGCAAGAAACAUGAAGCAAGUGGAUGACAUACAUGAAUGGAGUAAUGCAUUGGACAAAUUAAGAAGAUCAAUACCAGAGCAAGAGAAUUUGGAGAUAUUCAACGAAUUGAAACGUAGCUAUGAUUAUUUGAAUGAUCCAACUUUACAACAAUGUUUCUUAUAUUGUGCAUUAUAUCAAGGAAGUUGGUAUGGUAUAAGAAAAGGAAUGAUCGAGUUAUUGAUUGAUGUGGGAGUAAUAGAAGGAGAAAGCAGGAGAGAAGAAUUCAAUGAGGGCCGUACCAUACUCAACAAACUUCUAAAUCUUUGCUUGUUAGAAAAAGAAGAAGAUACUUACACAGUGAAGAUGCAUAAAUUGCUUAAAAAUAUGGCCAUCCAAAUAAUGAACGCAGAUGCACGAGUAAUUGUUAAAAAUGAUGAAGAGUUAUCUGAAAUGCCAGAGUGGGGAAACUGGUCAAAAGAUCUUGUCAGAAUUUCAUUGAGUUAUAAUGAUAUACGUAAGAUUCCUUCCGGUUAUUCACCCAGCUGUCCUAAUCUUUCAACUGUUUUGUUGGGUUUCAAUGAUAAUUUGAGCUUCAUUGGAUAUUCUUUCUUCAAGCAAUUGCAUGGUCUCAAGAUGCUUGAUCUUUCUUGGACUGCUAUUGAAAAAUUGCCAACGUCGAUCUCUCAUUUGGUGAAUCUAAGCGCAUUAUUACUUAGGGACUGUAAAAAAUUAAGGCAUGUACCGUCAUUAGCAGCGCUUAGGGCAUUGAAGAGGUUGGAUCUCUAUGGUUCUGGAGU